This is a long non-coding RNA of Thunnus maccoyii (southern bluefin tuna), 928 nucleotides long. RefSeq lists it as uncharacterized. Lineage: Eukaryota; Metazoa; Chordata; Actinopteri; Scombriformes; Scombridae. The record is from RefSeq and is a predicted model, not a curated record. The transcript is spliced from 3 exons.
GUAGCUGCAGUCUGCUGAACGCCGCUCUAAGCUUCGGUGGAAGUGAGGCGGACGAGUUGUUGAUAAUGUUCAGUUUGGUUGGACUGUACCUUCUGGGCCUAGUUGCACUGGUCAUGUUAACUGCACAACAGUCAUUACACCAUAACCAGAAGCCAGAGAAGCUGCUGCAUGCCGCCAAAAGAUGGACAGACUCCAAAUGAUGACAAUAAUGCCGUAAGGAAUGUCAUCUGUGACACAAAAUAAACGUUAGAGCAUAAAUGAAAUGAUGGACGCUUUCGUAUCGUCACACGAUAUAUAUCGUCAUAUAGCACAGCCAUAUUUCUGAAGUGACCCUCAGCUCCUUCAGUCUCCUUGUUGGCUUCUGUAAAUGCAGAAUAAAUACAAUAUGAUAAAUCACUAAGCUUUCCAAAAGUAUAGAUUUUCCUUGCUGUGCACAAGAUUUUUUUUUCAACUCACAGUAAAAGAAGUCAUGCAUAUUUUAAGGAAUACAAGACCUUUGUGGUGCCACUGCUUUCUUGUCACCGUCAUUACAAGAGGAGUGUAUUAUCUGUCUCUUGUUGUGUUGAUUACGGUAAACAUGAGAGUGCUGGAGGAGAUGGAGGCAUCGAAGCGAGGGUACAGAAGCAGCCUACAUCUUUAUCUAGAGGAGGACAUUAAUCCCACUGCUCUCUUCUAGACGGCAGAGAUUGUGAAUGAGAUAACUGCUGCUGGUCAGUGAUGGGUAGGGGCACUGGUUUUACUGCUCAUGGCUUCAGGGGCACCUGGUGCUCCAAAGAAUUCACAGCAGGAAACUAUGAAAUGGACGUCAUGACAGCUCCCUAAAAACAUCUGGAUCGCCCCCUGGUGGCCCGCUGCAGUUUAAGUCAUAAAUCCCAUCCUCUCCAUGUUAGUGGAUGGGACAUGAGCCAAACUAAAAAAAUCAAAGUAC